AGGUCGUGGUAUUUCGUACCUUCAUGGCUCAGUACUGUGCGAACGGAUUGUAGUUCGUCGAUCCGUCCCCGGUGUGGUGCUGUGACAAAAAGUGAUGUGAGUCCGUCGAG
Molecule: non-coding RNA, 110 nt
Organism: Bombyx mori (domestic silkworm)
Lineage: Eukaryota; Metazoa; Arthropoda; Insecta; Lepidoptera; Bombycidae
Source: RefSeq, marked provisional